RNAcentral lists this ribosomal RNA (376 nucleotides) under uncultured Pseudomonadota bacterium. Its description in RNAcentral is "bacterial SSU rRNA". It matches the Rfam family "Bacterial small subunit ribosomal RNA", at positions 106 to 478 of the family's 1533-position model. The record is from RNAcentral. Lineage: Bacteria; Pseudomonadati; Pseudomonadota.
GUGAGUAACGCGUAGGAAUCUACCUAGUAGAAGGGGAUAGCCCGGGGAAACUCGGAUUAAUACCGUAUACCUCCUUAGGGAGAAAGAGGGCCUCUCUUGAUGCUCUCGCUAUUAGAUGAGCCUGCGUAAGAUUAGCUUGUUGGUGAGGUAAUGGCUCACCAAGGCUACGAUCUUUAGCUGGUCUGAGAGGACGAUCAGCCACAUUGGGACUGAGACACGGCCCAGACUCCUACGGGAGGCAGCAGUGGGGAAUAUUGGACAAUGGGCGCAAGCCUGAUCCAGCCAUACCGCGUGUGUGAAGAAGGCUCUAGGGUUGUAAAGCACUUUAAGCAGGGAGAAAAAGUUAUAAGUUAAUACCUUAUAACCGUGAUGUUAC